Molecule: transfer RNA, 85 nt
Filed under: Felis catus (domestic cat)
Lineage: Eukaryota; Metazoa; Chordata; Mammalia; Carnivora; Felidae
Rfam family: tRNA
About the family: Transfer RNA (tRNA) molecules are approximately 80 nucleotides in length. Their secondary structure includes four short double-helical elements and three loops (D, anti-codon, and T loops).
Source: Rfam by way of RNAcentral
GCCUGGGUGGCUCAGUCAGUUAAGCGUCUGACUUCGGCUCAGGUCAUGAUCUUGUGGUUCGUGAGUUCAACCCCCACAUCGGGCU